Molecule: transfer RNA, 68 nt
Filed under: Phryganistria guangxiensis
Lineage: Eukaryota; Metazoa; Arthropoda; Insecta; Phasmatodea; Phasmatidae
Description: tRNA-Val
Source: RNAcentral
CAAGAUUUAGUUUAAAGAAAAUAUCUCAUUUACAUUGAGAAGAAAUUUAUGUGCAAUAUUAUUACUCU